This is a non-coding RNA of Malus domestica (apple), 797 nucleotides long. NCBI's taxonomy places the organism in Eukaryota, Viridiplantae, Streptophyta, Magnoliopsida, Rosales, Rosaceae. The record is from RefSeq and is a predicted model, not a curated record.
GCCUUAACAUGGUCGUCGCGCAAAAGCACUUUGCGCGACAUCAAAUUGUAUACCAACGUCGCGCAAGAUAUGAUAAAUUUCGCGCUCCAAUGCAGUGAAAAAAAGGCGCUUUGUUUCAAUUUUUCCUAAGUUUCGACUCUUUCCCGUAUAAUUAAUAGACCUCUCUUCCCUCUUGCACUCUUUCGGCCUUUCCCUCUUUCCCAUAUAACCUCUUGCUCAUCUAUCCUCUCUUUCCCUCUUUCCCGUAUGGUUCCCUUGCUCACCUCUCUUUCCCUCUUUCCCACCCUCUUCCUCACCUUUCUUUCCCUCUUUCCUGUAUAACCCUCUUGCUCAUCUCUCCUCUUUUUCCCGUACAUAUCUCUCUCCCUCUCAUUCACAAGCUUUCCUCUUCACAAUCACGAAUCCAACCAUCACCACCACUACUCUCUGUCAGUUGUCUCUCUCCCUCUCGUUCUAAACGACGGGCAGUGACGCGAAUCUGGAAACUGACGCGAAUCAAGUCCCAAAUUCAAGUGUAUAGAUGUCGCAUUUGAUCACUCGUCGUCGGAGUGUGACCAAUGCGCCUCCCACAUUAUCAGCAUCUACUGCUCCAUGCGUGAGUGCUCCAUUGAAUGGGGAGCCUACUCCCUUUAUUGAGGCUACUCCUACGGCGUCCCAGGUGCCUGUCUCAUCGACGUCAUCAGUGUCCGUUCACCCGCUCAGUGCACGGCGGCCUCACCGGCGUCGUCGCGAGCCGGACCCUUAUGAUCACACUUCCUCAGCAUCCAGGGUUGAGGGUGAGGCCUCCCAGCCAGGUA